Molecule: transfer RNA, 85 nt
Filed under: Felis catus (domestic cat)
Lineage: Eukaryota; Metazoa; Chordata; Mammalia; Carnivora; Felidae
Rfam family: tRNA
About the family: Transfer RNA (tRNA) molecules are approximately 80 nucleotides in length. Their secondary structure includes four short double-helical elements and three loops (D, anti-codon, and T loops).
Source: Rfam by way of RNAcentral
GCCCAGGUGGCUCAGUUGGUUAAGCGUCUGACUUCAGCUCAGGUCAUGAUUUCACCAUUCGUGAGUUCAAGCCCCACAUUGGGCU